RNAcentral lists this ribosomal RNA (264 nucleotides) under uncultured bacterium. RNAcentral's name for it is "partial 16S ribosomal RNA". It matches the Rfam family "Bacterial small subunit ribosomal RNA", at positions 90 to 354 of the family's 1533-position model. The record is from RNAcentral.
UCUUAGUGGCGGACGGGUGAGUAACGCGUGGGGAACCUGCCCUGUACAGGGGGAUAACACUUAGAAAUAGGUGCUAAUACCGCAUAAGCGCACGGUCCCGCAUGGGACAGUGUGAAAAACUCCGGUGGUGCAAGAUGGACCCGCGUCUGAUUAGCUGGUUGGCGGGGUAAAGGCCCACCAAGGCGACGAUCAGUAGCCGGCCUGAGAGGGUGGACGGCCACAUUGGGACUGAGACACGGCCCAAACUCCUACGGGAGGCAGCAG